AUUUUGUACAAACAAUCUGUCAU
This 23-nucleotide small nuclear RNA is filed under the name Arabidopsis thaliana (thale cress). RNAcentral's name for it is "snRNA_02360". The record is from RNAcentral. Lineage: Eukaryota; Viridiplantae; Streptophyta; Magnoliopsida; Brassicales; Brassicaceae.